Molecule: long non-coding RNA, 239 nt
Filed under: Linum usitatissimum (flax)
Lineage: Eukaryota; Viridiplantae; Streptophyta; Magnoliopsida; Malpighiales; Linaceae
Description: long non-coding RNA (LUSI_LNC000461)
Source: RNAcentral
AGUUAUCUGAAUAAAAACCAUAUUCAUCUUCACCAGCUUUGCUCCCCGAUCACUGAGAAUUCAAAUGCAGAGCAGCAAGAGAAGAAACCAAGAGGUAAAGCAGUGAGAGAGAGCAUCAAGCACCGCCACAACAAAUGCCAUCUCCUCUUCGAUCAAACUUCGAAACUUGUUUGCAGUUUAUGCAUUGCUCCUCCUUCCAAGCCCAAGAUUAAAGCGAGGUUUCGCCCUGUUGCUCUUCA